Molecule: long non-coding RNA, 3033 nt
Filed under: Olea europaea (common olive)
Lineage: Eukaryota; Viridiplantae; Streptophyta; Magnoliopsida; Lamiales; Oleaceae
Description: long non-coding RNA (OEUR_LNC012579)
Source: RNAcentral
GCAAGAAAUCUUUCGAUUCUUCCCCAUGAAAACAACAUCCCACUAUUCUUCUCCCCAUAUUUUCCUAAAAAUUCCCAGAAAAUCGCUAACAAAAAAUUCAAAACCAUUCUAAUAUAGAUAUAUAUAAAAAGGAAAAUAUCAAAGUCAGGUACCUGAAGUAGCGGGAAGACGAGCCUGUUCUCCAAGUGAAAAUGAAAAGAGAACGCAAGAAAAAAAUAAAAAUGCAGUUACAAGGCCAAAUGACAGUGAUUUGAAGGACACCAUUGUUUGAAUCCCACACGGCUUGGUUUCUUGAAAAUAAGUUUAGAUUCUUGAAACUAUGAUAUGGCCUUCAAAUGUAAUAUUUUUUUCAGUUUUCCUGCACGCAAACGCGGAGAGAAAGAGUUCAGAUUUUAGCAGUUGAAAGAACAGUUUUUCCAUGUGUAUAGAUAUAGAGAAACCCUCCAAAAUACUUCACAUCGGGGUGUCCCAUAUGGGUGAAAUAUUCCAAAUAAAUAUCCAUCCACGCACCCCCAUUGUGCGUGAUCUGGCGGGGAACCCCUUCUCUGUACGUGAGGGUGAGAAACAAAUGGAGGUUUUUGGUGCUGACAAGUGACAGCAAAUGGAGCCUGGAGGUGUGUCGGGGGAUUUUUUUAUUUUUUAUUUUUUAACCUUAUACUCGAAAUGCCCUUAAUUACGCUUUUAUUUUUAGGCGCGUUUGUUUUUCAUUUUUAUAAAAAUAAAAAUAAAAAAUAUAUCUAUUAUGGAUUUCACAAAAGAAAUAGAAAUUCAAAUUGAUGAUUUGAUGUGAUGAAUAACGGUCAUAUUUUUCAUUUUAAUAGAGAAUGAAUGAGAAACAAACAGUGCUUAAUUUUAUUUUAUUUUUUUAUUUUUUUUGGGUGGCGAAGGUGGGCCGUGGGAGUAACUUGACAAUUACAAGUUACAAAAAUGACCAUACGAUGAAGGAAAAAUUUUGUUGUUGUUAUUUUCAUUACUAUUUAACACGGGAAAAAUUGUACUGUUGGCCGUCGACCUGUGAUUUCAGUAGUAACUUGGUUAUUAUUUUUCAAAAUAUUAACAAGUUAGUCCUAAGUCUUUUGAUAAUGUUCCUUAAAGUUUUUUGGCAACCAUCUAAGUUGAAAAGGCAAAACUCAGCUUCAUAAAAUUAGACAUACAAGGAUAGAUGAUUCAAUUCUAAUGGGUUUCAUCAUUACAAAAUUGAUGGUACAACUCUGAAGAAAGUUUAAGAGCAACUUGCUUUCAUAAGUUGGUAAUCAAUAAUUCGACUUUUUCUUGAGUAGUAAUUAUGUUGGUUGAGAAAUUCAUUGAAAUUAUUUCAGUGCACAGUCAAUUGAGUUUGACUUGCAACAUAUAGAACUAAUCAGUGUGAUUUUGAGAGGUAUGUGAGUUGGGGGAUUAAGGACCAAAAUUGGUGUAAAUUAAUUAAUCAUUUCAUCUUGUUAUGGUCUGUAGAGAUUUCAUAAGUUCUUGAAAUAUAAGCUUCAUAGACUACUUUUUCUUCGUGGAUAUCUUUAGUGAUUAAUCAAAAACUAUUAUUAUAUCAAUAAAUAGUGUUUGAUAUCUUCAAUUUUUUGAACCCUACUUGGAUAGAAAAACGUCAGGUGGCACAAUCUACUACUACCACAACCACAACACACAACGAUGAUAAUUUUGAUAUUCAAUUAAUUUUUUGAAAUUAUUUGAAAUUACAAUCAAUUUUGUUUUGACUUCUAAUCCUCCACAUAGAACCAACUAUUGGGGUUCUAUAGGGAUUGAAGUUAACUUAUUUGCAGUUUGCUUCAAAAAGGAUUUACAGCAACUUGCACAAUAUUACAUUUCUGAAUCAAAUUAACAAAAAUAAAAAUAUUGAAAGAUAAAGUACCACUCAAAUCAACUAUUACAAUAUACUAAAAGACAAGCAAAGGCGUGGAGACUUUGUAAAUUACUAGGCAAGCAGAGAAUGUUCCAGAAAACAAAAGGAUAUUUGGACAUUACCUUAAAACGUGUCAGCUAAUUUGAGUAAAUUAUUGUUACAAUCAUGCUAUGUUGUCCGAAUUUUUUUUGAUAUAAUAGCUGACCGACACUCAUAAUGAGAGGGGGUCCACUUCUUUUUUGGACUUUUUUUGUUUACGUGGGACCCACGUGUAUGUGAAGGGAUGUCAAUCAUUAUGUCAAAAAAAUUCUGACAAAAUAGUUUAAUUCUUAUUGUUAUUUGCUAUUUCAAAGUGGCACCCACAAAACAUUAUUUCUCUCCGUAUGAUAUGGACAACAAAAGAACCAAUGAUGUAGGAGUGUCAAAACGUAAUUGUGAAUCCUUUGAAAGAACGAAAGGAAAAAAUUGUUAGUCUAUACAUUUGAAACCGCGGGACCUAGUAAGACUACAUUGUGUCAAGUGUUAGCUUGUGCUGACAAUCAAAUUUGCAGUUGUCAACAUAUUUUAAUCACGUUUCUUUCGAUAUAUUCUUCUCCUACAUAUGAGAAUAAGUACUUAGGCGGAGGUUUUGUCAUCGUUGGCCAUCCGACGAUCAAAUAAGUCUGCAAAAAAGCUUCUAAAAGAUAAACUUACAAGACCUUGAAUAGAACGGAGCCAGAUGAAGAAGUGUAACUAAGAGUUUGAUUGACAUGGAAAAUAUUACCUAAAAAGGAAAAUAUUUUCCAUCUUUUAUGGAAAAUAAAAAUCACCUCUACCCAACGAAAAUGUUUUCUUUAAAAAUAUGGAAAAUUAGGCAUAUUUUCAAAAGUUGGAAAAUGUUUUCCAUGGAAAAAAAUUGCAAUCAAACACUUCAAGUAAGAAUUUAGAUGAAAAAUUGAUAUUUUCCAUAAAAAAUAAAUGUAAUCAAACACACCCUAAAAGAUAGAAAUUAUCAUACAUCUUCUAUACGAACAUUGGGCUAUUUAUAGGUAUUCGUGAUAGAGGGGCGUUAAGAUGUUAUACCUCUUUUGGGACAUGUUUCAUGAUGCUAAUGGAGAGUGUUUUUGGCUUUCAGAAUUCUUUCUAAAAAACAUGACUUCCUUUCUGGUGAAGUUUUCUUUUACACAUGCUCUACGUACAAG